This 373-nucleotide ribosomal RNA is filed under the name uncultured organism. Its description in RNAcentral is "bacterial SSU rRNA". It matches the Rfam family "Bacterial small subunit ribosomal RNA", at positions 526 to 897 of the family's 1533-position model. The record is from RNAcentral.
CGUAGGGGCUAGCGUUGUCCGGAUUUAUUGGGCGUAAAGAGCGUGUAGGCGGCCGGGUAAGUCCGGUGUGAAAACUCGAGGCUUAACCUCGAGAUGUCAUCGGAAACUAUUCGGCUAGAGUCCGGAAGAGGAGAGUGGAAUUCCUGGUGUAGCGGUGAAAUGCGCAGAUAUCAGGAAGAACACCCAUGGCGAAAGCAGCUCUCUGGGACGGUACUGACGCUGAGACGCGAAAGCGUGGGGAGCGAACAGGAUUAGAUACCCUGGUAGUCCACGCCGUAAACGAUGGGUGCUAGGUGUGGGCGGUGUCGACUCCGUCCGUGCCGAAGCUAACGCAUUAAGCACCCCGCCUGGGGGAGUACGGCCGCAAGGACUA